CCCUAAGAUUACUUAAAUUUGAUCCCAACCAUUCAAUUGUUUAAUAGUUGAAUAUAGGCAACUGGGUUAACUCGUUAAGGCCUCUCACUCUUUCAUCUCUCACUCCAUUGCUCUCGCUAUCCGUCUGCUCUCACUCCACUGGUCCUCCAUUUGCUGCUCUCACUGCCUAGGUCUCAUCCCACUCACCAGCAACCGAGCAAUGAGCAUGCACUUCUCCAGGCAGGGACGACGAUGGCCAGUGUGAGUUUUGCUCCGUCGAGUUCCAUUUGAGGGCCAAAUGUAUCGAUGAUCAAACCCUAGAUGUCACCAGCAAGGACCUUUACAGCUCCAACCACACCAUUGUUCCAGUUGAUUUCUCUGAUUUCAGCUCUGGUUUUGACAAUUCCGAACAGAGGGAUGGGAAGAAGGCGAAGGCCUUGGGAAAGAGAAGCGAGGGAUCAAAGGAUAUGUCAGAGUUAAGAACAAACAGGACAUUGCAGCUUCUUCUUUUUUUUUUGUUGUUGUUGCUCUUUGUUUCUUUGAUUUUUUGUUUAUUCAUCAAAUUCAUGCUCUAUUUUGUUGCCUAGAACAUAAAGUUUAUUUAUUUUAAUUGUCUUCUGAAUCAAAGGAGCUAAUAAGCUUAACCUUGUUGUGGGAUGAGUUUUUCAUAAAUAAGGAGUUCAUGACAUUUGACAGUUCGAUAGGUACUGGGACAUAAUUGUUCAAAAUUACAACAGGUAUUGGUGCAGAUGAGGGCAUUUGAUUCAUCACAGUUUACAGCAUCCUCAAGAGAUUGAAAGUAAAGCUGCAGGAAUCAAGGAUAAAGCUGUUGAAAAGGAUGAUGUUCAAUAGGUUGAUACCGAUGUCACCUUAGACACUAAUACUGUUGUUAAGUCUACUCGACCCUAAGGAAGGUAUAAGAAAAGAGAGGAAACUUGUCUGUGCAUAUUCUUCUGAGGAUCUUGGAGGAAUACUUGUGAGUUACUAACCUUAGUAACUUAGGUCCCCAAGUUUUUUCGUAUAGAGUUGAUUGAAACAGGUAUUGUGAGGGGAGGGGUUUGAAUUCAAUUCCUUGGAAAAUGGGGGUAAUGUCUAGGCGGGUUUUACCCAUUUGUGGUAAAGUCUGUUUCUUCUAUCCUUCCCUGCGGGCAAGGUCGAGACAGCCCGUGAAGCGGUACAAAAAUCUUUUUGCUGAUAUCUUCCCUCGGUCUCAGGUGUUUUAGAUGCCUUAUUGAAGUCAGAACCAUGGUUCAUUCAAUUAAGAGAUGAAGGAAGGACUCCACUUCACUUGAUUGCAUGAUUGGGCUAUCUUGAAGAGGUUCAGUACUUGUUAGGAAGACACAGUUCAGGUGCUAUUGCAAGGGACAACAAUGGCUUACUUCCUAUUCAUUUAGCAUCAAUUAAAGGUCACAUUGAUGUUGUCCGGGCAUUGCUUCAGUAUUGGCCUGAUUCGAGGGAACUGCUCAAUUGUCAUGGUCAAAAUAUUCUUCAUGUUGCUGCCAAGAGCAGAGGACAUAACAUGGUUAGUUACAUUCUCCAAACUCCUGAGCUCGAGAAGCUUUAUAAACAUGAGGGGGAUAAGCAUGGAAACACACCCUUGCAUUUGGCCACCAUGGACUGGCAUCCACAGAUUGUAUGCACACAUAGAGGAAGUGCAAUGCACAUUUGUUUUAUGUGCACAUAGGAAAACUGUAAUAUCAGUGAAAUUCAAUGCGACAAGUGUAAGGGAAAGGCAAGUAUGUAUCAAAUUUCUCUACCCAUUGUACAAUGACACAGAAAAUUAGGGACAUUUGAUAAUGCAACUCAAUUUUUCUUUUAAAUUUGACCUUGUAAACAAUUAUUAAUGAAUAUACUAGAAUCUUGAAUAAGAA
Non-coding RNA from Camellia sinensis, 1850 nucleotides. The record is from RefSeq and is a predicted model, not a curated record. NCBI's taxonomy places the organism in Eukaryota, Viridiplantae, Streptophyta, Magnoliopsida, Ericales, Theaceae.